Molecule: ribosomal RNA, 253 nt
Filed under: uncultured prokaryote
Description: partial 16S ribosomal RNA
Rfam family: Bacterial small subunit ribosomal RNA
Source: RNAcentral
UACGGAGGAGGCAAGCGUUAUCCGGAAUUAUUGGGCGUAAAGCGUCCGUAGGUGGUUCAGCAAGUCUGCUGUUAAAGCGUGGAGCUUAACUCCAUAAAGGCAGUGGAAACUGAGGGACUAGAGUGCGAUAGGGGCAAGGGGAAUUCCCAGUGUAGCGGUGAAAUGCGUAGAUAUUGGGAAGAACAUCGGUGGCGAAAGCGCCUUGCUGGGUCUGCACUGACACUGAGGGACGAAAGCUAGGGGAGCGAAAGGG